Molecule: non-coding RNA, 596 nt
Organism: Ictidomys tridecemlineatus (thirteen-lined ground squirrel)
Lineage: Eukaryota; Metazoa; Chordata; Mammalia; Rodentia; Sciuridae
Source: RefSeq, a predicted model, not a curated record
ACAAAGCACGACUAGGAAUUAGUGCCAGGAUGCCCUUCCCCUUCUUGGUUUAAGUGGGAAAGGAGAUGAGUGUCACCAAAGGAACUUGGAGAAAACAGAGUUCAAUUCCAAGGCUGGGCAGCAUAGAUAGGAACAUCAUGAAGCUUCAGGGAUCCUGACAACAACUCUAUUUGCUAUCUGUUUUGGCAUCCAGUGAAAAACUUCAUUAUUCUUCCAGUUAAUGGAAAGAAUUCUCCGACUUCCUUUGGCACCAUGGAAGACACUAUUUUCAGACACAAGGUAAGAACACUUUUCUCAUGAAGUAAACAAUAUGGCUGACCCGUUCUAUUUUCCAUCUGGAUGCCAAAACUAAAAUACAGAGGAAAUGAGCAAGCCUGGAAUAUGGAGAAUCGUCAUUAACCCUCCACAUAAAGAUGAGGAGGCUGCCUCGAUGUGAAUGGAAAGUCAUUGGAUAAGAAGACAUCGGAGAAUCUUGAGCACAGGAGUAACAGGAUGGUUUUGGCUACAAUAUUAAGGAGAGAUCAUAGUGGCAGGUGCGAUAAUGCUGGAAGGCAGCUAACAGUGUUCAUGUAACCAUCCAAUCAUCUAAUCAUGCA